This 509-nucleotide ribosomal RNA is filed under the name uncultured bacterium. RNAcentral describes it as "partial 16S ribosomal RNA". It matches the Rfam family "Bacterial small subunit ribosomal RNA", at positions 28 to 506 of the family's 1533-position model. The record is from RNAcentral.
GACGAACGCUGGCGGCGUGCUUAACACAUGCAAGUCGAACGAAGAGCGAUGGAAGCUUGCUUCUAUCAAUCUUAGUGUCGAACGGGUGAGUAACGCGUAAUCAACCUGCCCUUCAGAUGGGGACAACAGUUGGAAACGACUGCUAAUACCGCAUACGAUCUAAUCUCUGCAUCGAGGAUAGCUGCAAGGUUGCCUCUACAUGUAAGCUAUCACUGAAGGUGGGUAUUGCGUCUGAUUAGCUAGUUGGAGGGGUAACGGCCCACCAAGGCGAUGAUCAGUAGCCGGUCUGAGAGGAUGAACGGCCACAUUGGGACUGAGACACGGCCCAGACUCCUACGGGAGGCAGCAGUGGGGAAUCUUCCGCAAUGGACGAAAGUCUGACGGAGCAACGCCGCGUGAGUGAUGACGGCCUUCGGGUUGUAAAGCUCUGUUAAUCGGGACGAAAGGCCUUAUGGCGAAUAGUGAGAAGGAUGGACGGUACCGGAAUAGAAAGCCACGGCUAACUACGU